RNAcentral lists this long non-coding RNA (659 nucleotides) under Marmota monax (woodchuck). The record is from RNAcentral. Lineage: Eukaryota; Metazoa; Chordata; Mammalia; Rodentia; Sciuridae.
UUGUAUGAUGAAAUUCUGUUGCUGGAUAAACUGUAAUUUCUCAAUCUCUCACCAUUGUGCAGAGCAAAUGAAUUUUAGUAAUAUUUUAAACAUCUCAUCUGGAUUAUUUUAACAUUCCAUAGGUUAUACUGUCAUUUUUAAUCCAUUGGCAUUCUUUAUAAAUUAGAAGUUUAUUCUAGAAAAUAUAAAGGUUGAAUAUUGCAUUAUUGUACUGUUCUCUAAAUGUCAGUUUCACAAAACCAUUUUUUAAAAAUUUUAAUUUGUUAUAUAUGACAACACAAUGCAUUACAAUUCAUAUUACACAUAUAAAGCACAAUUUUUCAUAUCUCUGAUUGUUCACACAGUUGUUGUAAAGGCUUAUUUAAAAGCUUUUGACUUGUAUCUUUUUGGUAAAAAUCAUCAUAAAGGUUUCUCUUAGUUAAUGCAUUUUGAUAAAUGUAACUGCAUGGGUGAAUCUCAAAUUAUGCAGGAGCCAGAGUAUGAAAUGUGAAAGGAGGCAGAGUAUAAUCUAUAUAAUUACAUUUAUAUGAAAUGUAAAUUUCAUAGAAAAUUCUCACCCAUCUGUAAUGACAGAAAGCAGAUCAUUGUUAGGGGAUCAGGGUGUUUGGAUGGGAAAGGAUACUUUGGAGGGACUACAUAGAAGCACAAGGACACUUUUG